CCCUUAGAUGUUCUGGGCCGCACGCGCGCUACACUGUUCGACGCAGCGAGUCUUAACCUUGACCGAAAGGUUUGGGUAAUCUUCAGCAAAGUCGAACGUGAUGGGGAUCGAUCAUUGCAAUUAUUGAUCGUGAACGAGGAAUUCCUAGUAAGUGCAAGUCAUCAGCUUGCGCUGAUUACGUCCCUGCCCUUUGUACACACCGCCCGUCGCUACUACCGAUUGAAUGGUUUAGUGAGAUCUCUGGAUUGACGCUGGCUAGGGGGCGACCCUUGGCCAGACUGCUCGAGAAACUGCUCAAACUUGAUCAGUUAGAGGAAGUAAAAGUCGUAACA
This 332-nucleotide ribosomal RNA is filed under the name uncultured eukaryote. RNAcentral's name for it is "partial 18S ribosomal RNA". It matches the Rfam family "Eukaryotic small subunit ribosomal RNA", at positions 1470 to 1796 of the family's 1831-position model. The record is from RNAcentral.